This 490-nucleotide ribosomal RNA is filed under the name Salmonella enterica. Its description in RNAcentral is "bacterial SSU rRNA". It matches the Rfam family "Bacterial small subunit ribosomal RNA", at positions 1 to 480 of the family's 1533-position model. Lineage: Bacteria; Pseudomonadati; Pseudomonadota; Gammaproteobacteria; Enterobacterales; Enterobacteriaceae. The record is from RNAcentral.
AAAUUGAAGAGUUUGAUCAUGGCUCAGAUUGAACGCUGGCGGCAGGCCUAACACAUGCAAGUCGAACGGUAACAGGAAGCAGCUUGCUGCUUCGCUGACGAGUGGCGGACGGGUGAGUAAUGUCUGGGAAACUGCCUGAUGGAGGGGGAUAACUACUGGAAACGGUGGCUAAUACCGCAUAACGUCGCAAGACCAAAGAGGGGGACCUUCGGGCCUCUUGCCAUCAGAUGUGCCCAGAUGGGAUUAGCUAGUUGGUGAGGUAACGGCUCAGCAAGGCGACGAUCCCUAGCUGGUCUGAGAGGAUGACCAGCCACACUGGAACUGAGACACGGUCCAGACUCCUACGGGAGGCAGCAGUGGGGAAUAUUGCACAAUGGGCGCAAGCCUGAUGCAGCCAUGCCGCGUGUAUGAAGAAGGCCUUCGGGUUGUAAAGUACUUUCAGCGGGGAGGAAGGUGUUGUGGUUAAUAACCACAGCAAUUGACGUUACCC